GUCCUACGGGACGCAGCAGUGAGGAAUAUUGGUCAAUGGGCGGAAGCCUGAACCAGCCAAGUCGCGUGAGGGAAUAAGGCCCUACGGGUCGUAAACCUCUUUUGCCGGGGAGCAAGAGCCGGGACGCGUCCCGGCCCGGAGAGUACCCGGAGAAAAAGCAUCGGCUAACUCCGUGCCAGCAGCCGCGGUAAUACGGAGGAUGCGAGCGUUAUCCGGAUUUAUUGGGUUUAAAGGGUGCGUAGGCGGUUUAAUAAGUCAGUGGUGAAAACUGAGGGCUCAACCCUCAGCCUGCCACUGAUACUGUU
RNAcentral lists this ribosomal RNA (305 nucleotides) under uncultured bacterium. RNAcentral's name for it is "bacterial SSU rRNA". It matches the Rfam family "Bacterial small subunit ribosomal RNA", at positions 335 to 637 of the family's 1533-position model. The record is from RNAcentral.